CCUACCACAGGCCCCUGUCCCAGGGUGUCGGAGAUUCAAGAUUACCUCUGUAGCAGUUGCUCAUCAACAGGCUCAACACCAGAUCAUUGAAAUUAUUGGGAGUACCAGUGGAAUCUGCAGCAUGUCUGGGUAUGAAGUGAGUACAGGUGCUGAAGAUUACUGGGAAUUUUAAUGCUGUCUGUUGACUUUGCAAUGAGAACUGUUUCAUGCUGUUGAGAUGUCUAUGUUCAUGGAAAAGAAUAGACCUGCUCAUAUCCGCAGAGAAGAACUAGAUGGACAAACUCCCUUCAGCUGCUGCAUGGGGACAGCAAAGUCUUAAGGUUGGCUUACAGCCUACCCUU
Molecule: long non-coding RNA, 341 nt
Organism: Numida meleagris (helmeted guineafowl)
Lineage: Eukaryota; Metazoa; Chordata; Aves; Galliformes; Numididae
Exons: 3
Source: RefSeq, a predicted model, not a curated record